This 2600-nucleotide ribosomal RNA is filed under the name Escherichia coli. Its description in RNAcentral is "partial 23S ribosomal RNA". It matches the Rfam family "Bacterial large subunit ribosomal RNA", at positions 354 to 2925 of the family's 2925-position model. Lineage: Bacteria; Pseudomonadati; Pseudomonadota; Gammaproteobacteria; Enterobacterales; Enterobacteriaceae. The record is from RNAcentral.
GCGAUACAGGGUGACAGCCCCGUACACAAAAAUGCACAUAUUGUGAGCUCGAUGAGUAGGGCGGGACACGUGGUAUCCUGUCUGAAUAUGGGGGGACCAUCCUCCAAGGCUAAAUACUCCUGACUGACCGAUAGUGAACCAGUACCGUGAGGGAAAGGCGAAAAGAACCCCGGCGAGGGGAGUGAAAAAGAACCUGAAACCGUGUACGUACAAGCAGUGGGAGCCUCUUAAUGGGGUGACUGCGUACCUUUUGUAUAAUGGGUCAGCGACUUAUAUUCUGUAGCAAGGUUAACCGAAUAGGGGAGCCGAAGGGAAACCGAGUCUUAACUGGGCGUUAAGUUGCAGGGUAUAGACCCGAAACCCGGUGAUCUAGCCAUGGGCAGGUUGAAGGUUGGGUAACACUAACUGGAGGACCGAACCGACUAAUGUUGAAAAAUUAGCGGAUGACUUGUGGCUGGGGGUGAAAGGCCAAUCAAACCGGGAGAUAGCUGGUUCUCCCCGAAAGCUAUUUAGGUAGCGCCUCGUGAAUUCAUCUCCGGGGGUAGAGCACUGUUUCGGCAAGGGGGUCAUCCCGACUUACCAACCCGAUGCAAACUGCGAAUACCGGAGAAUGUUAUCACGGGAGACACACGGCGGGUGCUAACGUCCGUCGUGAAGAGGGAAACAACCCAGACCGCCAGCUAAGGUCCCAAAGUCAUGGUUAAGUGGGAAACGAUGUGGGAAGGCCCAGACAGCCAGGAUGUUGGCUUAGAAGCAGCCAUCAUUUAAAGAAAGCGUAAUAGCUCACUGGUCGAGUCGGCCUGCGCGGAAGAUGUAACGGGGCUAAACCAUGCACCGAAGCUGCGGCAGCGACACUAUGUGUUGUUGGGUAGGGGAGCGUUCUGUAAGCCUGUGAAGGUGGCCUGUGAGGGUUGCUGGAGGUAUCAGAAGUGCGAAUGCUGACAUAAGUAACGAUAAAGCGGGUGAAAAGCCCGCUCGCCGGAAGACCAAGGGUUCCUGUCCAACGUUAAUCGGGGCAGGGUGAGUCGACCCCUAAGGCGAGGCCGAAAGGCGUAGUCGAUGGGAAACAGGUUAAUAUUCCUGUACUUGGUGUUACUGCGAAGGGGGGACGGAGAAGGCUAUGUUGGCCGGGCGACGGUUGUCCCGGUUUAAGCGUGUAGGCUGGUUUUCCAGGCAAAUCCGGAAAACCAAGGCUGAGGCGUGAUGACGAAGCACUACGGUGCUGAAGCGACAAAUGCCCUGCUUCCAGGAAAAGCCUCUAAGCAUCAGGUAACAUCAAAUCGUACCCCAAACCGACACAGGUGGUCAGGUAGAGAAUACCAAGGCGCUUGAGAGAACUCGGGUGAAGGAACUAGGCAAAAUGGUGCCGUAACUUCGGGAGAAGGCACGCUGAUAUGUAGGUGAAGCGACUUGCUCGUGGAGCUGAAAUCAGUCGAAGAUACCAGCUGGCUGCAACUGUUUAUUAAAAACACAGCACUGUGCAAACACGAAAGUGGACGUAUACGGUGUGACGCCUGCCCGGUGCCGGAAGGUUAAUUGAUGGGGUUAGCGGUAACGCGAAGCUCUUGAUCGAAGCCCCGGUAAACGGCGGCCGUAACUAUAACGGUCCUAAGGUAGCGAAAUUCCUUGUCGGGUAAGUUCCGACCUGCACGAAUGGCGUAAUGAUGGCCAGGCUGUCUCCACCCGAGACUCAGUGAAAUUGAACUCGCUGUGAAGAUGCAGUGUACCCGCGGCAAGACGGAAAGACCCCGUGAACCUUUACUAUAGCUUGACACUGAACAUUGAGCCUUGAUGUGUAGGAUAGGUGGGAGGCUUUGAAGUGUGGACGCCAGUCUGCAUGGAGCCGACCUUGAAAUACCACCCUUUAAUGUUUGAUGUUCUAACGUUGGCCCGUAAUCCGGGUUGCGGACAGUGUCUGGUGGGUAGUUUGACUGGGGCGGUCUCCUCCUAAAGAGUAACGGAGGAGCACGAAGGUUGGCUAAUCCUGGUCGGACAUCAGGAGGUUAGUGCAAUGGCAUAAGCCAGCUUGACUGCGAGCGUGACGGCGCGAGCAGGUGCGAAAGCAGGUCAUAGUGAUCCGGUGGUUCUGAAUGGAAGGGCCAUCGCUCAACGGAUAAAAGGUACUCCGGGGAUAACAGGCUGAUACCGCCCAAGAGUUCAUAUCGACGGCGGUGUUUGGCACCUCGAUGUCGGCUCAUCACAUCCUGGGGCUGAAGUAGGUCCCAAGGGUAUGGCUGUUCGCCAUUUAAAGUGGUACGCGAGCUGGGUUUAGAACGUCGUGAGACAGUUCGGUCCCUAUCUGCCGUGGGCGCUGGAGAACUGAGGGGGGCUGCUCCUAGUACGAGAGGACCGGAGUGGACGCAUCACUGGUGUUCGGGUUGUCAUGCCAAUGGCACUGCCCGGUAGCUAAAUGCGGAAGAGAUAAGUGCUGAAAGCAUCUAAGCACGAAACUUGCCCCGAGAUGAGUUCUCCCUGAGACUUAGAGUCUCCUGAAGGAACGUUGAAGACGACGACGUUGAUAGGCCGGGUGUGUAAGCGCAGCGAUGCGUUGAGCUAACCGGUACUAAUGAACCGUGAGGCUUAACCUUACAACGCCGAAG